AAGGGAGAUUUGAGGAGCUUUCAGCCUGGACAGAAAACAGAAGGAGGAACGCCAGCUCUUUGAGAUACAGAGCAAGGAAGCCAAAGAGCGACUGACAGCUUUGACUCGUGAAAAUGAGAAACUGAAGGAAGAGCUGGGAAAACUAAAAGGGAAACUGGAAAGGUCAUUUGCGGACCCCAAUGGUGACUCUAGGCCUCCCAAGGCAGAAGCAGAACAGGAAGCAGAGCAGCUAAAGACACAGGUGGCCCGCCUUCAGGCUGAGAAGGCCGACCUACUGGGCAUCGUCUCAGAAUUACAGCUCAAGGUCAACUCCAGAGGCUCCGCAGAAGACUCCUUUGUUGAAAUUAGGAUGGUUGAAGGAGAAGCAGAUGGGUCAAUAAGAGAAAUCAAGAAUAGUCCUGGGCCCAUAAAAACGGACUCCACAUCCAUUAACACGAGCAAAUCUGCAGAAGGUGCCAGAAAUUAUUUGGAAUUUGAGGAAUUAACUGUGAGCCAGCUCCUGCUUUGCCUAAGGGAAGGAAACCAGAAGGUGGAGAGACUUGAAACUGCUCUCAAAGAAGCCAGAGAAAGGUAUGAAAUAGAUUAAUAUGGAAUGUGCACACAUCUUAACUGCUUUAUUGAAAUAUCAUUUAGAUACCGCACAGUUCACCUGUGGAAAGUGUGCAUCUCAAUAUUUCUAGAACAUUCACCAGGUGAUGCAAUCAUUGCCACAACAGAAUUUUAGAACGGUUUCCCCUAUAGCAGAAAUCCAGUACCCACUAGCACUCGCUUUCCACUCCUUCCAGUGAUCUGCUUCCUGUGCCUGUAGAUUUGUCCAUUCUGCGCAUUUCAUAGAACUGAAGCAAUCCAUAUGCGGUUCUUUGUGACCGGUACUUCACCACUGUUGCUGUUGAAUAAUAUUCCACUGUAUGAGUAUAAACCUUUUUAUUUUUCUGUGCACCAUUUGUUGGCCAUUUGGAUGGUUUCCUCUUUUUACCGGCAUCCACAUCGUUUCACAUUCACACGAGCAGCGUAUGAGUGUUCUACUUUCUCCAUAUCCAUACCAACACCUGCUAUUGUCUAGCUCUUUAUUUUAGCCAUGCUAGUAGAUGGGAAUGGGUAUCUUCUUGUACUUUCAUUUCUAUUUCCCUAG
Molecule: non-coding RNA, 1132 nt
Organism: Castor canadensis (American beaver)
Lineage: Eukaryota; Metazoa; Chordata; Mammalia; Rodentia; Castoridae
Source: RefSeq, a predicted model, not a curated record